CCUACGGGUGGCAGCAGUGGGGGAUAUUGCACAAUGGGGGGAACCCUGAUGCAGCGACGCCGCGUGGGUGAAGGAGCGUUUCGGCGCGUAAAGCCCUAUCGGCAGGGAAGAAAGAAACGACGGUACCUGAAUAAGAAGCCCCGGCUAACUACGUGCCAGCAGCCGCGGUAAUACGUAGGGGGCAAGCGUUAUCCGGAUUUACGGGGUGUAAAGGGGGCGUAGACGGCGAUGCAAGUCUGAAGUGAAAGCCGGGGGCCCAACCCCCGGACUGCUUUGGAAACUGUAUGGCUGGAGUGCAGGAGAGGUAAGUGGAAUGCCUAGUGUAGCGGUGAAAUGCGUAGAUAUUAGGAGGAACACCAGUGGCGAAGGCGGCUUACUGGACUGUAACUGACGUUGAGGCUCGAAAGCGUGGGGAGCAAACAGGAUUAGAUACCCGUGUAGUC
RNAcentral lists this ribosomal RNA (443 nucleotides) under uncultured bacterium. RNAcentral describes it as "partial 16S ribosomal RNA". It matches the Rfam family "Bacterial small subunit ribosomal RNA", at positions 338 to 795 of the family's 1533-position model. The record is from RNAcentral.